Long non-coding RNA from Dreissena polymorpha, 492 nucleotides. RefSeq lists it as uncharacterized. The record is from RefSeq and is a predicted model, not a curated record. The transcript has 4 exons. Lineage: Eukaryota; Metazoa; Mollusca; Bivalvia; Myida; Dreissenidae.
GCAAUGUACGAAUGUGUGUUACUGUAUCAUCUCGGAAUUAUUAAGUUUCCAAAUGUAAUUGGCGUUAUCGAUGGGACGCAUGUCCAGAUUCAAGCCCCAGUUGUUGAUGAACCGGCGUAUGUGAAUCGGAUGGGUUACCAUUCCAUAAACACACAGAUCAUGUUUGAUGCCAAUUGUCUGAUUAGAGACAUUGUACCGCUGUGGCCUGGGGCUGUCCAUGAUGCCAGAAUCUUAAGGCAAAGUGGCCUAUUUCAAAUCAUGGAGCAGAAUGUUGUCGAUGACCAACAUCAAUAUCUACUUGGGGAUUCGGGAUAUCCGUGCAAGAGAUGGCUCCUCACUCCAUUUAUGAAUCCAGCUGAUGAGCACCAGCUGAUUUACAACCGGGCACACAAACGUACGAGAUCUGUUGUUGAGCGUUCCAUUGGAAUUUUGAAAAGGAGAUGGGCUAUUCUUCACAACGAAAUUCGAUUGCAUCCAUUAAAGUCGUGCAAG